RNAcentral lists this ribosomal RNA (438 nucleotides) under uncultured bacterium. RNAcentral describes it as "bacterial SSU rRNA". It matches the Rfam family "Bacterial small subunit ribosomal RNA", at positions 952 to 1392 of the family's 1533-position model. The record is from RNAcentral.
UUUUAUAACGAAGAGCCCUUACCUACCCGAAAUGUCCGUAGUAGGACCCUGAAAGGGAAUGCAUGGGUUAAGUCCCGAGACUAGUGCUGCGCGGCUGGCGUCACCUCGUGUCGUGAGAUGUUGGGUUAAGUCCCGUAACGAGCCCAACCCUUCUCCUUAUUUGCCAUCACGUCAUGCUGGGAACUCUACGGAGACUGCCGGUGAUAAACCGGAGGAAGGUGGGGACGACAUCAAGUCAUCAUGGCCCUUAUGGGUAGGGCUACACACGUGCUACAAUGGCCGGUACAGAGGGCUGCGAACUUGCGAAAGUAAGCCAAUCCCACAAAACCCGUCCUACUCCGGAUUGGAGUCUGCCACUCGACUCCAUGAAGGCGGAAUCGCUAGUAAUCGCGAAUUAGAAUGUCACGGAGAAUACGUUCCCGGGUCUUGUACACACCG